RNAcentral lists this ribosomal RNA (253 nucleotides) under uncultured bacterium. Its description in RNAcentral is "partial 16S ribosomal RNA". It matches the Rfam family "Bacterial small subunit ribosomal RNA", at positions 524 to 776 of the family's 1533-position model. The record is from RNAcentral.
UACGGAGGAUGCGAGCGUUAUCCGGAAUCAUUGGGUUUAAAGGGUGCGUAGGCUGGUAUUUAAGUCAGUGGUGAAAUUUUCGUGCUUAACAUGAGAGCUGCCAUUGAUACUGGGUACCUAGAGUGUAUUUGAUGUGGGCGGAAUGUGUUGUGUAGCGGUGAAAUGCUUAGAUAUGACACAGAACACCGAUAGCGAAGGCAGCUCACAAAGUUACAACUGACGCUGAUGCACGAAAGCGUGGGGAUCAAACAGG